GCAAAACCUGCAGUUUUAGUCUUUAUUUAUUGAUUAAAUAAAUGAUUAUUUUCAUUGAUAACAAUUUUAGGCCUGAAAUUAACAGCAGAUUGUGUACAGGAAUCUAAAAGAUUUCUUGAUGUUAUUUUUUAGAAUGACGGCUCUUGGAGGAGGCUUAGUUAAUCAUUCUGCUUUGCUUUUAUUCCUCAUUAAUAUGUGCUUUUGUUUAUAUACAUCGUUGGAGAUUGAGUGACUUGCAUAUGAAUGCUUCUUAAUGCUAGGAAAGGUCUGGCCUUGAGUGAACAUCUUUACUUUUGUCUCCUGAUCUAUGCCAGUUCUUGUGCAGCCAACUGCAUGGUGUUUAGGCAGGGGGUUGAAGGGUGCCCUGUGUGGGGGAGGCCAUGAGACACCUGUGACAGCCUUAAAUGGCUCUGAUGCCAAUGGGAACAGUCAGUGGGAGCCUCACCCUGAAAUAUUUAGCAAAGAGCGACAGCCACUGAGGAAAGAAGACUUGUAAGGAGUCAGCUGAGAAGCGGAGGAUACACAGAGGGACCACUGUUGGAGACAUAGCUGGAGACACACCCUGGGAAGGAGAUGCUCUGUGACAAUGGAGGGACUUCUGAGAGACUGUGGUUGUGGGACACCCGCUCCAACAGGUUUCUGUUGGGGACAGGACACUGCACUAUGUGGAUCUUUGAUGUGGCCCAGGGUGGCAGUGCUGUGUGUGUCAUGGCGGGAGGAGCGCCGCACCAGGGCAGAUGGGACACAACUGAAUUCCAUGGAAGCAUAGUAUCCACCACUGCUUCCUUUUGAAGAAGUGUUGG
RNAcentral lists this long non-coding RNA (803 nucleotides) under Numida meleagris (helmeted guineafowl). Its description in RNAcentral is "lncRNA (ENSNMEG00000005644.1)". Lineage: Eukaryota; Metazoa; Chordata; Aves; Galliformes; Numididae. The record is from RNAcentral.